This 468-nucleotide ribosomal RNA is filed under the name uncultured Alcaligenaceae bacterium. RNAcentral describes it as "bacterial SSU rRNA". It matches the Rfam family "Bacterial small subunit ribosomal RNA", at positions 335 to 796 of the family's 1533-position model. The record is from RNAcentral. Lineage: Bacteria; Pseudomonadati; Pseudomonadota; Betaproteobacteria; Burkholderiales; Alcaligenaceae.
GGCCUACGGGUGGCAGCAGUGGGGAAUUUUGGACAAUGGGGGCAACCCUGAUCCAGCCAUCCCGCGUGUGCGAUGAAGGCCUUCGGGUUGUAAAGCACUUUUGGCAGGGAAGAAAAGGUGCCGGUGAAUACCCGGCGCCGCUGACGGUACCUGCAGAAUAAGCACCGGCUAACUACGUGCCAGCAGCCGCGGUAAUACGUAGGGUGCAAGCGUUAAUCGGAAUUACUGGGCGUAAAGCGUGCGCAGGCGGCUCGGAAAGAAAGAUGUGAAAUCCCAGGGCUUAACCUUGGAAUGGCAUUUUUAACUCCCGAGCUAGAGUAUGUCAGAGGGGGGUAGAAUUCCACGGGUAGCAGUGAAAUGCGUAGAGAUGUGGAGGAAUACCGAUGGCGAAGGCAGCCCCCUGGGAUAAUACUGACGCUCAUGCACGAAAGCGUGGGGAGCAAACAGGAUUAGAUACCCCGGUAGUCG